Molecule: small nucleolar RNA, 126 nt
Organism: Octodon degus (degu)
Lineage: Eukaryota; Metazoa; Chordata; Mammalia; Rodentia; Octodontidae
Source: Ensembl
AAGCCAUACUCUGUGACAGAUUAUCAAAGCGGUCUGGCACAAUUUGAGCUUGCUACAACAAGAAAGUCUAACCUAUUCCAGCAUUCUCCCCACUGUGAGAUAGACUGUUAUAUAGACUGAAACAGU